This 460-nucleotide ribosomal RNA is filed under the name uncultured bacterium. RNAcentral describes it as "partial 16S ribosomal RNA". It matches the Rfam family "Bacterial small subunit ribosomal RNA", at positions 338 to 795 of the family's 1533-position model. The record is from RNAcentral.
CCUACGGGGGGCAGCAGUGAGGAAUAUUGGUCAAUGGCCGGAAGGCUGAACCAGCCAUGCCGCGUGAAGGUCAGUGCCCUAUGGGCGUUAAACUUCUUUUGUGCGGGAGCAAUAAUGGUCACGUGUGGCCAGACGAGAGUACCGUACGAAUAAGCAUCGGCUAACUCCGUGCCAGCAGCCGCGGUAAUACGGGGGAUGCAAGCGUUAUCCGGAAUUAUUGGGUUUAAAGGGUGCGUAGGCUGUGAGGUAAGUCAGCGGUGAAAUGCCCCCGCUCAACGGGGUGAAGUGCCAUUGAUACUGCCUGGCUGGAAUGCGGAUGCCGUGGGAGGAAUGUGUGGUGUAGCGGUGAAAUGCAUAGAUAUCACACAGAACACCGAUUGCGAAGGCAUCUCACGAAUCCGCGAUUGACGCUGAUGCACGAAAGCGUGGGUAUCAAACAGGAUUAGAUACCCGGGUAGUC